RNAcentral lists this long non-coding RNA (4655 nucleotides) under Homo sapiens (human). RNAcentral describes it as "HSALNT0337468". Lineage: Eukaryota; Metazoa; Chordata; Mammalia; Primates; Hominidae. The record is from RNAcentral.
CGGCAAGUGCAGCGGCUCAUGCAUAUGUAAUCCCAGCACUUUGGGAGGCCAAGACUGGCAGAUCACUUGAGCUGAGGAGUUGGAGACCAGCCUGGACACCACAAUGAAACCCAGUCUCUGCAAAAAAUACAAAAAUUUGCUGAGCGUGCUGGUGCAUGCCUGUAGUCCUGGCUACUCAGGAGGCUGAGGUGGGAGAAUCACUUGACUUGAUGUCGAGGCUGCAGUGAGCUGAGAUCGCACCACUCCUAGAUGAUAAGAGUGAGAGCCUGUCUCAAAACAAAGAAAAGAAAGAAAGAACGAAAGAGAAGAAAAUACAGGUAUUACGGCCUAGACAUUCUUUCAGAUGCCAGAGGAUGCUAUAGAAAAAUGCGUGCCCUCUUGUAAUACUUUGUUCAAGUUCUGAUCAGAAGGAUGAAUGAUGGAGCCCAAGAAGCCAGGUACAAAUUCAAGCUUCUUCCAUUCAUAAGCUAGGCAGUCCUUACUCAAAUUUCUUAUCGUAUCUAUUCUUUAGUUUCCUCAUCUGAAAUGUAGGUGAGGCUAAUUGUAUAUGCCAACUUGACUGGUUUCAAGACGCUUACAUAUUUGGUUAGACAUUAUUUCCGAGUGUGUCAAUAAGGGUGUUUCUGGAAGGACUGGGCAUUUGAAUUGGUGGACUGAGUAAAGCAGCUGGCCAUCCCCAGUGUGAGUGGGCAUCAUCCAACUUGCUGAGGGUUUGAAUAGAGCAAAACGGCAAAGGAAGGAUGAAUUCUCUCUCUCUGCCAGACUGUUUGAGCUGAGACAUUGGUCUUUUCCUGCCCUUGAGCUAGAACUUACACCAUCAGAACUCCUGGUUCUCAGGCCUUCAGCUCCAAGCUGUAAUUUAUUCCACGACCUUUCCUGGGUCUCCAGCUUGCAGAGGGUGGACUGUAGGAAUUUUCUGCCUCCAUAAUCACAUAAGCCAAUUCCUUAUAAUAAAUCUCAUUCUAGAUAUACAUAUCUGUAUAUCUCCUGUUUGUUCUUGCUCUCUGGAGAACCCUGACUAAUAUAGUUAUUCUGAGGAUCAGUGUUGUUUUGAAAACUGAAUAUUUCAGUGUGUGUGAAGUACUCAGAACAAUGUCUGGCACAGGCAGAUCCUGCACAAAGGUGGCUAAUAUCAUUAUUACCCCUUCUUUUCACCACACCUCUAGUAUUUCUGUAAGUUGCCCGUAUACUAGCCCAGCAAAUGAACCUUGAUAUUUCCAUAACAUGUAAUUACCUAAUUCAUAUUGUUGCUACCAUUCAACUAGAGAUUAUUACAAAAUAAUUUGAAAAACAUCUUUAUAAUUGCUCACUGAUUAAAGAUUUUAAGAUGCUUUUCUUUCAAAUAUUUUUAUUUCUCAGAGCACCUACAAUGCUUAGCGUAGGUCUUCAUUUUCUGUCACUCAUAAUUACAUUCUAAUAUUUUCAUUAUUUUAAUAUUUAUCUAUUUUCUCUACCUUGCAUUACUGACAGGAUUUUUGGCCAUGUCUAUGUUUUAAUUUUCUGCUCCCCACAUACAAUUUGAACAAAAUAUUAUAUUUUAAAUUCUUUACAAUUUUUCUCUUAUUCUACAUUUCUCAUUUAAACUUAACCAGUUGUCUUUUCACCUAAUUCUUAUUUCUCUUUAGGGGUCUCUUCUUUUAUUUCACAGUCUGGGUAUAUUUGUAUUUUAUUUAUGAUGCUAGUCCAUCAAUUUUUUUGAUUUUUUAAUAAAAUAACGCACAGAACUACUUAUCUUCUUCUGAGUCAUUAGGAUAUUUUUAUAUAUUUUUAUUCUAUAGUAUUUUUCAUGCCAACUAUUGGUACUUAUAAGUUCUCAGGUGAGUUUGCUACACAACUACCUCUUUAAAUUGACUUUGUUGGCAUGAUAUUAACUUCCAAUGACAUAGCUAUAUGAUCAGUUCACAUUGAAGGCAAAACCCUGUAAUAGACAAAAUUACCUUGUCAGAUUGACUCUGGUGACAAAAAAAGGCCUUUAUUUUCUUCAAACUAUUAUGAAAUUAUUUAUAUUCUAUUAGAGGAAGAGGAUUUAGGUAAUUUAGCAGGCCAAGUGUUUUGCAGGUGCACGGUCACAGUUACAGUGAUUUGUAAUUUGGGGACCCUAAUAGCACUAGAAGCUGAACUGCUCCCUGAAUACUCUGCAGUGCAAUAAAUGGUGCCUAUAACAGUGCUGUGAAAAAUCAACAUACCCAAACUUACAGAGAAAAUUAGCAAGUUCACUUGGGGGAAAGAUACAUGGCCUGAGCAGAUUUUUUUCCUCUCUCUUCAAGAGAAAUCAUUUAAUCCAUUAUUUUGGGAAUCAAGACUGAUAGUUAUCUGAAACUGGAUAUUUGGAAAAAAAAACAAGGAAAAAAGAAAUAUUAACCAAUUUAUGACAAAAUAAAAUAGAAAUAUACUAAUAGAUAUUGAGUAGUAUUUAUACACUAGGUAAUUUUCUAAUCCCUGCAAAGUAGGAUCUAUCACCCACAAUUUGCAGAUGAAGAGAAUGAGAUAGAAACAUGUAAAUAAACUGGUCUGAGAUAACCAUAAAGUAAAAGUCAGGAGUGGUUUUUAAAUGCAUGCAGUCUGACUCAGGUUCUCUGCUAUUAAUCUGAUAGAAGUCUCUUAGGAAAUUUGUCAUCCUGGUCAGAUAGAAAAAACAGCCCAAGUAAAAUAACCAGAAUAAGCAGCUCAAACCCAGAGCUUGAGAUUCCCAUGUCCCAUCAGAAAUAUGUUUUGUCUAUUCCUCAAGCUCCAUAGUUUGUCUUUAGAAGUACAUGCUAGACACUUCUACAGUAAAAGUAGUGAACAAACGCCACUGAUGUAAGCUACAAAAGACAUUUGCCAAUUGUGCAUUCUAAAAAUUUGAACAUAUUUGAAAUACUUAAAAAAUCCUGACAGUAUCUUCAGAUUUGACCAUUCUUGUAAGCAUUUUGACACUUAAUAAGCAGAGAACCUCUUACAGAGAUUCUUCUGGUCCCUUUCCAUUCAUCGUAAAAGAUUUUAAUGAUUUCUUUAUAUAUUGAAAAUCUAUUUUUAUAAAACUGACCAUACUAAUAAAAUCAUGUAACACUUUGUACACUUCUGGCUUUGACCUAUAAAAGAUAAUAUUUUUUAAAAAUCAUAUGUAAUACUAUAUUGCUAACCAUACAUCAGUUUUAUUAAAGACAAAUAGACAUUCCAAAAGGGGUUGCACGUCACAUUUUUUGCUCUAGUAAGAAAUAAGCUAUUUUCUUGUCAUUCGCUUGGAAUUCCAGUAUUGACAUUAUAUGCACUAAUGAUUUAUUUGUAGGAAUCUUUUUAAUUGAAUUGUUGAUGUUUCCAAGGUAAAAUCAUAAUAUAAUUUAAUUACAAUAAUAUAAGAGGGCAAUUAAUUAUGUACCCUCUUGUAUACCUGAUUAUGAGAACUGCAUUCUGUGUUUCAACCCCUUAAACUGAGAACUGUUAUAAAGUCCAUAGUGUUAGGAUAUUUAGAAAUAGAAAUGUUAAUGCAACCAAGAGAGAUUAAAGCCUCUUGAGUUCAUAUGGCAUAUUAAUUUUGGCUUUUCUUCAGCUUUGAAUUCCCACUAUUUAGUAACUUUGAAAUUUCAUUUCCUUUUUGGACAUUUCUCAGCACCACCAUGAGUCUAAUAUAGUAAAAUUGGGCUACCAUCCAAGUGACACAAGCCCCAUGCACUGGGGAAACGUAGGGAUGGUGGAUUCUGCUCCAAGACUGAGAUAGAAUAGCUCUUUAUUUUGCAGACCUUUCCUUUAUUUUUACUUAACUUUCCUAUAUUUGACAUGAGAGCAACACAAUCUCAUGAGAGGUGUGAAACUAAAGGAACAGGGCCAAAGAGGCCCAUGCAGUCUCUUUUGAGCCAAAGUCCUGUAGAUUUACAAGGUCUUCCUGAUCUAUACUUGAUCUAAUCCAGUGGUUCUCAAAAUAUAGUUCCUGAGUAUCACUGUCACCCGGCUAGUACAAAUUUUCAAGCCCUAGGCUAGACCUGCGAAGAGGGCGUCACAGUCUGUGUUUUAAUAAGGCCUUCGGAUGAAAUCUGAUGCAUGCUAAAGUUUAAAAACCUGAGUUUUCAAAUCACCUUGGCUAAGCUCUACAUAGGGGUUUAAGUCUAUGCAAGUAGAGCAAUACGUAGAGUGAUUUUUGUUUUUCUGCAUUGUUGCUGAACCGUAAAUAAUCUAUUUGUAAAUCUUUGUUAGUAGUAAUGAGUUUGAAUUUAAAAAUUUGGAGGUUAAAAAUUAUGAUCUUUUUUUUUUCUGCCUCUCUUGUAUGUACAGGUUAAUCCUCAUUACUUACAAAUUCCCUACUUGUGAAGUUGUCUACUUGGUAAAACUUUUUGUAAUACAAAAAUCAAUUUUGUGGAUAUAAACAGAUAAGUCCGGUGUAGUAAAAAAUGUGAAUUGUCCAACAAGCACAUUUCCAGCUGAGUUCAAAGUGAUGUCUUGCCUUCUUUUUUCAGCUCACAAACAAUAAACAAGUGUCCUUUUGUGAUCUAUUUAGUGCCAUACUUUAGGCAUUUUUUUUUUUGCUUCUUCUUGGUGAUUUCACUGCUUAAAAUGUCCCCCAAGGAUAUUGCUAAACUGUGGCCCUUUUUUCUAAACACAGGAAGACAAAAGAAUGUGCCUUAUGGAGAAAAUACAUGUGUUAGCUUAACUUCUUUCUAGAAUGAGCUACAGGGCUGUAG